GAUGAACGCUAGCGGCAGGCCUAACACAUGCAAGUCGAGGGAGAAGCCCUUUCGGGGGCAGAAACCGGCGCACGGGUGCGUAACGCGUAUGCUACCUACCUUUCACAGGGGGAUAGCCCGAAGAAAUUUGGAUUAAUACCCCAUAAUAUUAUUGGAUGGCAUCAUUUGAUAAUUAAAACUGCGGUGGUGAAAGAUGGGCAUGCGUCCUAUUAGCUAGUUGGAGUGGUAACGGCACCCCAAGGCUACGAUAGGUAGGGGUCCUGAGAGGGAGAUCCCCCACACUGGUACUGAGACAGGGACCAGACUCCUACGGGAGGCAGCAGUGAGGAAUAUUGGUCAAUGGUCGGAAGACUGAACCAGCCAUGCCGCGUGCAGGAAGAAUGCCUUAUGGGUUGUAAACUGCUUUUAUAUGGGAAGAAUAAGGCGUACGUGUACGUUGAUGACGGUACCAUAUGAAUAAGCAUCGGCUAACUCCGUG
RNAcentral lists this ribosomal RNA (478 nucleotides) under uncultured bacterium. RNAcentral's name for it is "partial 16S ribosomal RNA". It matches the Rfam family "Bacterial small subunit ribosomal RNA", at positions 28 to 507 of the family's 1533-position model. The record is from RNAcentral.